RNAcentral lists this ribosomal RNA (253 nucleotides) under uncultured bacterium. Its description in RNAcentral is "partial 16S ribosomal RNA". It matches the Rfam family "Bacterial small subunit ribosomal RNA", at positions 524 to 776 of the family's 1533-position model. The record is from RNAcentral.
UACGUAGGGGGCAAGCGUUGUCCGGAUUUAUUGGGCGUAAAGCGCGUGUAGGCGGCCAUCUAAGUCGGGCGUGAAAUCCCACGGCUCAACCGUGGAAGUGCACUCGAAACUGGAUGGCUAGAGUCCUGGAGAGGAAGGUGGAAUGCUUGGUGUAGAGGUGAAAUUCGUAGAUAUCAAGCGGAACACCGGUGGCGAAGGCGGCCUUCUGGACAGUGACUGACGCUGAGACGCGAAAGCGUGGGGAGCAAACAGG